CGCUGGCGCGGUGGGGAUGCGAGGAUGGUGAAGAAGCCCAACGGGAACGUGGAGCUCGAGGCGUCUCUGAAUGGCGCCGGGUCGGCCCAAGCCGCUCGGGAGGUCCCGAGGAUCGGCUCGGUGUUGUCCACCGGGGACGAGGAGUCCUCCUUGGAACGCAGAAGUAGGUUCUCGCUCUUCAAGUGGUUCCGCAGAGGGUCUUCGAUUUCAAGAGGGCACUCUGUCGAGGUGGCCGACGUCAAGGCAGCCGUCGAGGGGGUCGACAGGUCGCAAGGAAGCGUCUGCUCGAGCAACGACAGCGUCGACACUCUGUGCAGCACCACGACGGUGAGGAGUUUCGCGUUCCACGCGGGUGCCCCGUCUCACCUUCAAGGUCUGGACGGAUUUUCGCUAGGUCUGGUGAGCCAGGGCGGAGAGGUCGGUCCGUUCGCCCCCGGGGCGUCCAAAGUGCUGGGGAAGAACGGCAUCGAGAGUUGCAACACCUUGCCUAACGUGAACAGCGGUCGCGGGGACAUCGGUACCAGGUACUCCCUCCAGACGUACAGCUUCAACUCCUGCGGGAGCUUGGCGAGGGUGAGGGAGCCUCGAAGAGCCGACACCGACACCGGGUCCAGGGGCAGGAGGGUACACGUGAAGGGGAAACGCAGAGCGCCGAACCCGCCGAUCCCCAGGUCGAGAAACCCCGUCAAUGUCGAGGUCUCCACCAGAAAUAGAGGCAGCGCUCGGCGCAAACGGCCCGCCCCUCCUCCUCCGGACAGGAACUCGACGACCUCCCAGGGGAGUCCUGAAGAUAAGAAAUUCAACACCUCGGACAUGGCGGACCUCUUCAAGGACGACAAGCUGCCCUCGAUAAGUAACGAUACCUUAGUCCUGAAGGGAGGGGUCCUCCUGUCGAAGAGGGAGGCGAGGUCGCCCUCUUUGCAGGACUCUUCGGCAUCCUCUUCGAUAGAGAAGACCCAGGGGAAUAAAGCAACCGCGACGCCCAGGAACGGUGCCAUGCUUCGUCCUUGGUACAAGCGCAGCGUGUUCGAGCACUCCAGGGAUCCUGGAAUUAACAGAAGAGGUGACAUCCUGAGGAGUCCAACGAACCUGGAGCAGGUGGCGACGAGUAAAACCUCCUCCUCGCGACCCCAGGAGAAAACCAGCUCUGAUUCCACCUUGUCCAGGUUGAACUUCUUCCACCGGGACCGGCAGACCGAAGAGCGCCGUAGAGAGGCUAAAAGGAAAUCCGGAUUGUCCAUCCUGGCCAACAUCAGCGAGCUGGACAAAGAAGCCGCCGCCAUCGUCCAGGAGGAGCAGGCCAGGGCGAGAGCCUCGAUGCUGCUGCAGUGCGCCAAGUUUUCGGAACAGGAGAAACGUCCCGAUAACCAGGAAGUCGUUCAGGAGCUCGUGACCUCGGCGAUGGAGAGUUCCCCUAGAAGGGGCACCCGGGCGUUGAUAUCGAAGUUUAACGCCAUCAGCAACAUCACCAAGGUCACGGUCAACACGAGCUUCUUCUCGAAGACGGGUCAGGAGGACUCGAAGACCGAAGGUGCACCAGGUGAGCGCCAGGACGACUGGAGGUGCAGGUAUCCUCUGUCCAGCAGCCCUGGAAGAACCUCCAGGGUCGACAGGGACCUCUCCAGGUACUUCCUCCCGCAGCCUCGGACGCCUAAAAAUGAAACGCCGAAUUUAGAGGAGAAGAAGAAAAUCACCGAGGAUGCCGACGCCAUGAAGGAGGUCAAGUAUCAAGCAGGAACCUCUCGAAACGGAGUGACCUCUUCGGGGCCCGAUUUUCAGAGCAUAUUCGACCUGAAGACCCUGGACACGAGGCACGCGAAGAAGACCCCGAAAGCCGAAGAGUCUACCAAGGAUGGGAAAUUAGUCGAGGUCAAAGUGGAAGGUAAUAAAAUAUUAAGUAGCCUCGCGAGGGCCGAAGCGUCUCCAAAAAUCGACGCGCCGAGGUCGCCGAUUUCCCGGUAUACGAGGAAAAUCGAAGAAGUCGAGGAGGCGUCGAAAGUAGAGAACAAAGGAGGAGUGAAGUCGACUCGGUCGAAUGAGAGCAACGAACCGAAAUCGGAGCCGAGGGGUCUGGAGGCGACGCAGAAGGAAUUUUUAGACAUCUUCAACGAGAUGAACCGACCUCUGCGCGCAAGGGGAAUCCAAGAUGGCGGAAAGGUGGAAGGUAAGCCCGAUGAGAAAUUGAAAAUAGGAAAGAGGAACGCCGAAGGGACGCCGAAAAUAGAUCGGAGGAGAAACGAGGGGGUAAAAAUAGACGGCAGGAACGAGGAGCGGCAGACUAUCAAGAAGGUGGAGAAGCGAAGAGAAGCGAGGAACGAUGAAGAGUCAAGAACGGACGCCAGGAAGGAGGAAUUCCCGAGGGUCGUGGAAAAUGAAAGCGGGACCGUCCAGGAAUUCGAGAAAAAGGAGAAGAAGAGGCCGAAGACGACGCUGAAGACGACGGAGGACCCCGCGACGACGGACUUGAAGGAGAUGCUGAAGGAGAUGAAGCAUUCCCUGCCGAAGAGGCCGAAGCCGAAGAGGUCCUCGAGCGAGGAUGCCGGGGGGCCAAAAUCGUCGUCCUCUUCUAGUAGCAGCAUCGCCGAGAGCAGGAUGAAUUUCCUGAGUGCUGUGCUGACUGCGCAUCCUCCGGAGAUUCGGGUGAUGAAUGAGCCCCUGCUCUUCAGGAACGAUAUUAAAAAGGAUAUUAAGAGCGAUAUCAAGGACGUACCUCUGAUCCCGAAGAGUGAACCAGUCCCCAAAUCCGACUCCCCUGUUUUCAGGCCUGAAAUGAAAUUAAUUCAGGGUGAACCGGUGGUUAAGGAUAAGACAACGUUGAUAAAAAAUCAGUCUUCGAUUAAAGACGACCUGGCGUUGCCGAAGAGCGACAGAGAAGACAGGCAGAAGGUGUCCUCGGCAGUGCAGACCAGUGGAAACGUGAGAAGAGUUAACCAGGGAGCCUCCACCUCAUGGAAACUCGAAGACGUGCUUUACACCACGGGUAGAAAGAGCCAGGGUGCCCCAGGACUCGUCAAGAACACCUUCCAGCUGAUAAGGCCGCGAGACUUUGCCAGGAUAGAGGCGGCGAAAAUGUCAAAAGACAAGAAAGAGAACACUUACGCAAACGUGAUGGACCAGUCGUUGUAUGCCAACGCUCUUGUCCUCCCCUCUAAAAAGGACGCGUCGAAUGUCAUUCCUUCCGUGGAGCGUGAUAAGGAUCUUAGAGAUGAUAAGGAUAAUAACAGCGCCAAGGACGUCAAGGAGGUACCUGAAGCGGCGAAGUAUAUCGAGGCGCCUUCGGGACGACCUGAGCCGGUAGAAGACGACGAGGACCAUUCUACCCUGCAGGACAUGAACACAUUGGCUGUGAAUCGGUUGCUGAAGAGGUUGGAGGCGGCCAUCGCGUCCGGUCGUCAUCAGCAAGCCGCAGGCCUUGCCAAGGAGUUGGCGAGGUUGAAAAUACACUGUUCCGUGAUUCGACAGAGAUUUACAAACGUUAAGAAUAUUGUAAACGUGAACAUGUACGUGGAGGACAAGCUGGCUCACCAAGGGCCUAUUCCGUUGUUGCUUCAAAGGAACAUGACGGUGGCGCAAUUGAAGAACAAAGUCUUCGCGGAAUUGGAGAUCCCGACGAGCGUGCAGCGGUGGAUAAUCGGCAACAACCUGGCGAACGACGAGGCCACCCUCGAAGAGCUGCAGAUCAGCGAGGGCGCACCUGUCUUCGUCUACCUCGUCGCGCCUGACAAGGUCGAAGAACCGCAAAACGAAGGCGCAGGGGGCAGAGCCCUUGAGGUCGACCAAGCCCCGGUCGCAGGGGUAGGCAAAGCCCCCGAGGAAGUCGAGAAACCCGGAGACGAGCAUCGGCACCGUGAAGAGGUACCCGAGGAGAUCGAAGUACCGCAACGAGUGCUCGAGGUACAUUUCAACUUAACGAGGAAUGCACUCCAGAAAAGUCGAGGAUGGUGGAGUACGAGGAGCUGAUGUCUCUGGAGAACUGCGACGUGAUUCCAAACUCGGAGGAGAUCGAGUGUCCUGUGUGUUUCGUCACUUAUGGACCUCGCGAGGGUGUCAUCCUGAGGGACUGCCUCCACAUGUUCUGCAGACCUUGCAUCGCUAACACGAUUCUGUACUGCGAAGAAGCGGAGGUAAAGUGUCCUUUCCGAAACACUGAGUACUCCUGCGACAGUACUCUUCAAGAACGGGAAAUCAAAGCG
This 4193-nucleotide unclassified non-coding RNA is filed under the name Orussus abietinus. RNAcentral's name for it is "uncharacterized LOC105697376, transcript variant X1". The record is from RNAcentral. Lineage: Eukaryota; Metazoa; Arthropoda; Insecta; Hymenoptera; Orussidae.